CUUCGUUUCAUUAAAUUCCUUUACUAUUAUUCAAUAUUUUAAGCAUUCACCCUCAACAUAAAAUGCAGAGCUCAACUCCAUGGUAAGAAUGAGAUAUACUGAUGCCAAACAUAAUAAAAGGAACAAAAUUUACACACUUUCCAAUAAUAUUAGAAUCUCCCUCCUCACUACUAAUCAAACCAGCCCCUUUCUUUUCGAAUUCCCUUUAUCAAUCCUUUUCCCUUGUGGAAUGUUACAUUUGAUAAAAUCUCGACGUCUCCUUUUGCACUUAUUCGAGCUAGCAUUUCAAAUAGGCUUGAUAAAUCUUCGGCGUCUUCCUUGGCAGCAGGACUCACUGCUUGAUUCUACUAGUACGACCAUGUAUAGCAUUCCUUUCUCCCAUUAUAAGAUGCAAAACAACCACAUAAAACAAAUGUCAAUACUACGCGAACUAAGAAGAUCGAGAAUAAUUCAUGUUCAAUGCUAAAGUUUUCAAAACUUAAAAUCACAACACCUACAAAAGUCAUUAGGUAUAUCCUCCUAAAGAACCAAAACCAUCCCCACAGUUCGUCCUAAACACUUUGCUGCAGUAGAGAACAAAGCAAUAAGAUGCAUAUCUUCUUCUAUUAAUCUCACCAACGCCACCCCCCUUUUCAGGCUCACUGCUUUAAUUCUCAAACAAGCAAAUUCUUGACUAAAAAGGCUUGUCAUUCAUCAACUCCACCUCCUAAAUAAAUGACCAUUCACACAAAUUUCAAUUGCACAUCUAUAAUUAUGUUAUAUCAUCUAGGUCUGAAUUUUUAUAACAUAAUCAAUUCCCCCAUUACCUUUAAAAACUUGACGGAGAUGUGUUCUUCAGUGGUGGUUUGGUGUCGGACGAAGAAGGAGAACUAUAAUGGUGCUUUCGUGACAGGGGAGGUGAAAAAUAGGGCUCACUUCCUUUAAAUCUCGGCAAGAAUGUUUGGGUAAUGCUUCUGUGGUACCUUCUUCACUUGUUUCGAGCCGGUCAUAGGUGGAGAUGAGUUCGGCGAUUUUGUCUCGACAUUAUGAAUGGAGGCGAUGGCUUUGGAGAAGGUGUCCAAGGUUUGAACUGAAUAGGUGAAAGGGACGAGAAUUUUCAUGCCUCUCCAACGCUGGAAGUUGAAGGUAUAUGGUCGGGCAACAUGUGAUAAAUGAGACAAAACACAUUGUUUUUGCAAUUUCCACUGAAAGACGCCAGAGUUGUUCUCGUGCAAAAUGGGUUCUCCAAUUUGGGGGAGUUAUACACGAGUUGAACAAAUGGUUCCUUU
RNAcentral lists this long non-coding RNA (1268 nucleotides) under Olea europaea subsp. europaea. Lineage: Eukaryota; Viridiplantae; Streptophyta; Magnoliopsida; Lamiales; Oleaceae. The record is from RNAcentral.